Molecule: ribosomal RNA, 472 nt
Filed under: uncultured Alphaproteobacteria bacterium
Lineage: Bacteria; Pseudomonadati; Pseudomonadota; Alphaproteobacteria
Description: bacterial SSU rRNA
Rfam family: Bacterial small subunit ribosomal RNA
Source: RNAcentral
GAGUUUGAUCGUGGCUCAGAACGAACGCUGGCGGCAGGCUUAACACAUGCAAGUCGAGCGCAUCCUUCGGGGUGAGCGGCAGACGGGUGAGUAACACGUGGGAAUCUACCCAUCCCUGCGGAACAACUCCGGGAAACUGGAGCUAAUACCGCAUACGCCCUUUGGGGGAAAGAUUUAUCGGGGAUGGAUGAGCCCGCGUUGGAUUAGCUAGUUGGUGGGGUAAAGGCCUACCAAGGCGACGAUCCAUAGCUGGUCUGAGAGGAUGAUCAGCCACAUUGGGACUGAGACACGGCCCAAACUCCUACGGGAGGCAGCAGUGGGGAAUAUUGGACAAUGGGCGCAAGCCUGAUCCAGCCAUGCCGCGUGAGUGAUGAAGGCCUUAGGGUUGUAAAGCUCUUUCACCGGUGAAGAUAAUGACGGUAACCGGAGAAGAAGCCCCGGCUAACUUCGUGCCAGCAGCCGCCACAGUAAC